RNAcentral lists this ribosomal RNA (1381 nucleotides) under uncultured bacterium. RNAcentral describes it as "bacterial SSU rRNA". It matches the Rfam family "Bacterial small subunit ribosomal RNA". The record is from RNAcentral.
AGAGUUUGAUCCUGGCUCAGGAUGAACGCUGGCGGCGUGCCUAACACAUGCAAGUCGAACGAAGCGCCUUUUGAGAUUCUUCGGAUGAUUGAUUGGUGACUGAGUGGCGGACGGGUGAGUAACGCGUGGGUAACCUGCCCUGUACAGGGGGAUAACAGCUGGAAACGGCUGCUAAUACCGCAUAAGCGCAUGAGGAGACAUCUCCUUGUGUGAAAAACUCCGGUGGUACAGGAUGGGCCCGCGUCUGAUUAGCUGGUUGGCAGGGUAACGGCCUACCAAGGCAACGAUCAGUAGCCGGUCUGAGAGGAUGAACGGCCACAUUGGAACUGAGACACGGUCCAAACUCCUACGGGAGGCAGCAGUGGGGAAUAUUGCACAAUGGGGGAAACCCUGAUGCAGCAACGCCGCGUGAGUGAAGAAGUAUUUCGGUAUGUAAAGCUCUAUCAGCAGGGAAGAUAAUGACGGUACCUGACUAAGAAGCUCCGGCUAAAUACGUGCCAGCAGCCGCGGUAAUACGUAGGGAGCAAGCGUUGUCCGGAUUUACUGGGUGUAAAGGGUGCGUAGGCGGCUUUGCAAGUCAGAUGUGAAAUCUAUGGGCUCAACCCAUAAACUGCAUUUGAAACUGUAGAGCUUGAGUGAAGUAGAGGCAGGCGGAAUUCCCCGUGUAGCGGUGAAAUGCGUAGAGAUGGGGAGGAACACCAGUGGCGAAGGCGGCCUGCUGGGCUUUAACUGACGCUGAGGCACAAAAGCGUGGGUAGCAAACAGGAUUAGAUACCCUGGUAGUCCACACCGUAAACGAUGAUUACUAGGUGUUGGAGGAUUGACCCCUUCAGUGCCGCAGUUAACACAAUAAGUAAUCCACCUGGGGAGUACGACCGCAAGGUUGAAACUCAAAGGAAUUGACGGGGGCCCGCACAAGCAGUGGAGUAUGUGGUUUAAUUCGACGCAACGCGAAGAACCUUACCAAGUCUUGACAUCCCUUGACGAUGCUGGAAACAGCAUUUCUCUUCGGAGCAAGGAGACGGGUGGUGCAUGGUUGUCGUCAGCUCGUGUUGUGAGAUGUUGGGUUAAGUCCCGCAACGAGCGCGACCCUUAUGGUCAGUUACUACGCAAGAGGACUCUGGCGAGACUGCCGUUGACAAAACGGAGGAAGGUGGGGAUGACGUCAAAUCAUCAUGCCCUUUAUGACCUGGGCUACACACGUACUACAAUGGCGUUUAACAAAGAGAAGCAAGACCGCGAGGUGGAGCAAAACUCAAAAACAACGUCUCAGUUCAGAUUGCAGGCUGCAACUCGCCUGCAUGAAGUCGGAAUUGCUAGUAAUCGCGGAUCAGCAUGCCGCGGUGAAUACGUUCCCGGGCCUUGCACACACCGCCCGUCA